AAUUCUUUAAUGAAAAAGAUGAGUUAGUUCUAAAUGUUGUUUUCUACUGCAGUAGCAGUACAGUACUUGAUUUCUCUUUGGGGUUGCAAGGUGCCAACUGACAACUAAGGUGACUACUAUUAUUCUGCAUUUGACAAUCUCAAAUUCAUACUUAUUGUACUAUUGGCAUUUUCUGAAAGCUGGUAUGUGUUAUGUUGCACUUGAUAUUCUUAUGGAUGGUGCUUGUUAAAGAUCGCAAACUUUUCUAAAUAUUGGUUUUGUGGGUAGUCAAUAUAAUAGGACAAUUAUAAUUUAUAACCCAUUCAAUCUAUUAUAAACUGGAUUUUCAAAUUGAAGUUGAAUUGAUUUUUUACUUUUACUGCUAAAAGUAUUUCUGCAAACCAACAACAAAAAUGGUUAAAUUACUUACCAGCUAUUAUCGGCUGUUAACUUCUAUAUCUGAACACUUUACACAUCUCCCUCGCACACACCAUGUUGAACACGUAAUUUAUAACAAGGAACACACUUUUAGUUUGCAGAAUUAAAAACCAUGAGACCAAGUCCACACAAAAACCUUAUUUAUACGAAGAUAAAAGCGAGUAAUGUAAAAAGUUUUUUCAGAUAAAUAAACCUCAAUAGUGUUUAACUACAAUCAACAUAACAACAAAUCUAAUUGUGCAUAUGAAUGUUCACAAUACCAAGAAUAACAUAAAUUAUCCAUAUUAAAGUGCAACUGCACAACUAACCAUCUAAUUGUCGCAGCUUUUCUCCUUUGUAUAUUUUCCUUCAAUGUUUUGAUGACGUGCGAGAAGCACUCUAAGGCCUCAUUAGUCUGAUAUUUCUAGGUGAAAAGGAAGAUAAAGAGAAAAAAUUGCAUUUAUUUGUUACCAUUGAAUCAGUUUUUUGCCUUCAGAGAGUUAUUCUCCUUGAUCCUAGCUCGAUUAUCCAGCUUAACAUAGCGUUUUAGAUCUCCAAAAACAAGCGUUUCGAUAUUCUUCCUACGUAAUUCACUCAACGCAGGGCGUUUAUCAAUCAACUGAGACAACCAGUCAGGGUAUUCUGCAUUAGGCAGGAUUUUUUGAUCUGUUCCAUCCUUGAGAAUGUUGGCACCUACAACUGUACUUGCCUUGACUUCUUUGCUAAGAGUGGAUCCUUUGGGCGAAUCAGAAAGUCCGCCUCCUUUAGAUCCUUUCUUUGCUUUAGCAGUCGCAAAAGUUCGCUGGCAUGCAACAACAACUGCCUCUUUGGUGGUUAGAAUGUAUCUAACAGUCCUAGCACGGUUCAUUAACAUGACUUCUGCAUAGAAAAACUCAGUAUUAAGUCUUGUUUGAAUAAACAACUUAAUUAAGUGUUUAUAACAUAAGUAUUUUGAUAGUUAUGGCAGGGUGUAUAGGAGAAAACGUGGGAAUAAGGCUGCAGAGAAUAAUUCACUCAUAACUAACUUGGGUGGAAAGGGCAUGACUAGUGACAUGUGGCUUAGAAGAGAGAAUGUGGAUCUGAGGAUUAAAGGCAGAAGGAAUGUUCAGUAUCUGUCAGGCAUUGAUUUCAGUAGUCAUCACUACAAGGAGAAAGGAGAGAUUUAGCCUCUCGAAGUGCUUAGCUAUUUUCGGUCAUUUUCUUUCCCAUUUUUACCUAUUGUACUUAUCAGUUUGAUCGCAUUUGAACUCUAGCAUGAUUUUACAGUAAUAAAACCAUGGUA
Molecule: long non-coding RNA, 1678 nt
Filed under: Trifolium pratense (red clover)
Lineage: Eukaryota; Viridiplantae; Streptophyta; Magnoliopsida; Fabales; Fabaceae
Description: long non-coding RNA (TPRA_LNC001484)
Source: RNAcentral